RNAcentral lists this ribosomal RNA (259 nucleotides) under Bacillota bacterium. Its description in RNAcentral is "Firmicutes bacterium (sediment metagenome) partial 23S ribosomal RNA". It matches the Rfam family "Bacterial large subunit ribosomal RNA", at positions 2670 to 2925 of the family's 2925-position model. Lineage: Bacteria; Bacillati; Bacillota. The record is from RNAcentral.
AGUUCUCCCUAGUACGAGAGGACCGGGAGGAACAGACCUCUGGUGACCCUGCUGUGGCGCCAGCUGCAUCGCAGGAUAUCUAUGUCUGGAUGUGAUAACCGCUGAAAGCAUCUAAGCGGGAAGCACACCCCAAGAUUAGCGUUCCCGGGCCGCAAGGCCCCUGAAGACCCCACGGAGACUACGUGGUUGAUAGGCGGGGAGUGUAAGCGCAGCGAUGCGUUUAGCUGACCCGUACUAAUCGGUCGUGCGGCUUAACUUA